Molecule: long non-coding RNA, 2127 nt
Filed under: Homo sapiens (human)
Lineage: Eukaryota; Metazoa; Chordata; Mammalia; Primates; Hominidae
Description: long non-coding RNA NONHSAT223579.1
Source: RNAcentral
CGCCGGCUGCGCCGCUCGCCUCCAAGGGAGCGUUCCGUGCUGGCCCCUCGCUCGGCUCCGCUCCGCCUCCGCCACGCCGCUCUCCGAGCUUCGGCAGCAGCCAGCGCCCCCUCCACGCUGCGACCCCGGCUCUCGGCUCUCCGUCCCUGUAGCUCCGUGCCCAGCACCUCGCGCCCCGCAACCUCGCCGUCUCCCAAGUCCCGGGCCCCGCUUCUGUCGCUGUCCGUCGCUGUCCGUGUGUCGCUCGCUCGGUCUGUCUCUCCGCCUCCCCAGCCCUUCCUUCCUCCCUGUCUCCCUCGCUGGCUUGCACGUUCGCUCGCUCUCGGACGCGGCGAAACAGCUUCGCAGGCAAAUCCCAGAAACCUUUGCAAAAAGCUUGCAAUGAAAUUUAAGAAGUUCUUCGAUUUCGGCGCCAUUUUCGAGUGGAGCCAGAGGUGACAUGCGAUUUUUUAAAAAGGGACUUGGUGGCUGGCGUCUUUCCCGACUGUAACGUGGGUUACGGCAGGCAGAAAAACAUCUGGUGAUAAUUCUGAAAAAAGUGCUGUGGCGUUUGGGGGGGUUGUAAAGCACGUUUUGCGGGCGGGAUGGGGGCAAAUCUGACAUUUAAAGUGUUUAACAAAUGAGUGCGGCCGGGAAAUUCUCAGGAAACGGACUGGGAAAAAAAAAACAACAACUAACAUGGAGGGGCGGGGAGAGAAAACUGAGUAAGGGGCAGUGACCGACUGUCAGCCUCGCUAGGGUCGGGAGCGACUGGUUUUGACAGAAUGUAAAUGAACUUUUCCUCUUAUUUGCAAGAAGUUAGUUAUGUCUUGGAAAGAAAUGUGUGAUUAAUUUCACAUUGUCUCUCCCGAAUUAAAACUUUAAAGGUUGUUUAGUUUUCCCCGUAGGGACUUGACAUUGUGGAAGUUUGGCUAGAAUGCGCCGAGAGAAGGUACAUCGUGUGUUUGGGGUGUGGGGGACGAAGGCAUAUGCAAAAUUAAAAGACAAAACGUUGUAGAGUAUGAACAGAGGAAGAGGCGUAUUCUUUGGCUCUUAAAUCAUUUAGCCAAACACAUUGCAGUUCAGAAGGGGGUGGGGCUAUGGCAACUCGAAAGUAUCGAUUCUUUGUCUAUUGUAUCAGUGAAUGACCCUCUCCUGAAGUGACAAGACGCCCCUUUGUAAUCUCUUUUCGGCAGUCAACGACAUUUUUCUCCAUUAAUCCCAAAGUCAGUGUAAAAGUUGUUUGUAAAUAUCAUUGCCAAAACAAGAUGGAAUGUAGAGAUACUUGAUUGUCGCAAUUUAGGGAAUGGGGUUAUUGUUACUAAUGACUUUUUUUUUUUACCAUGACAUAGUGUAUUUGUUACCACUGGAUCUCAGUCUGGAUGUUAUAAAUUCGAUACUUAAUCUUAUUAAAUACUCUGCACAUUUUAUUAACUAAUAAAUAGGACACUUAACAUUCAUUGUACUGGUUUUGAAAAACCGACUUAAUUUGUAAGUGUAACAAGAUACUUACAGUUGGAUAAUUUAAAUGUCUAUUACUUGUGCUGAAAUGUAUUUAACUUUCAAAACCAUUACAGUUAGUGCUGAUUUUGUUGUUUUAACUUUUAGGUUUGUGAUUGAGGAUUUCAGAGUGGGUUUUUUUUUUAAUGCUUAAUUGAAUAUUGUAUUCAAACAAAAAGAGGGCAUGCAUGUGACUUGUUGCUAAUAUGUGUCCAUUUUAAAAAGGAAAAAGUGGUAUCUAAUGAGUUAAUCAUUAAGGAGUAUGCGCAGUGCCGGCCAUUUCAGGACAUGAAAGUUUCUGUGGAGCUGCUUGAAACAGGAAGGAGCGACUUGACAUCAAGUAUUUAAACUUUUUGAUUUAUGUUUUGAUAGAUGACAUUGAUAGGUAUAAAUUAUAAAUAAGUUUGAGUAACCAGUUUAAUAUGUAAACUGGUAUUUCAUCUACAGAAAGUUCUCUGUCAUUGUUUGGAGCUCUUUAAAAUAACUCAGCUGGGGUGUUUAAGAAUAAAAACACUAGCAGUGAGUUAGGACAUCUAAUGCUUUUAAAGAUAGAUGUAUAUGUCGCAACGAUAGUGUAAGAAUCAGCUGAAGCUACCGGUGAGGUUUUGGUUAUUUUCUUUCAGUCAUCUGAGUCCAUUUCCAAUAAAG